AAUCAUGGCUCAGGAUGAACGCUGGCGGCGUGCUUAACACAUGCAAGUCGAGCGAAGCACUUAAGUUUGAUUCUUCGGAUGAAGACUUUUGUGACUGAGCGGCGAACGGGUGAGUAACGCGUGGGUAACCUGCCUCAUACAGGGGGAUAACAGUUAGAAAUGGCUGCUAAUACCGCAUAAGACCACAGUACUGCAUGGUACAGUGGUAAAAACUCCGGUGGUAUGAGAUGGACCCGCGU
Molecule: ribosomal RNA, 239 nt
Filed under: uncultured bacterium
Lineage: Bacteria
Description: partial 16S ribosomal RNA
Rfam family: Bacterial small subunit ribosomal RNA
Source: RNAcentral